UUUCAACCAGAAGAAUGUUGUUAUAGUCUGCCAUAUUUGCAUCCUGUAUAUAAUACAUCCUUUUUCUUUAAAACCAAGAGUUUCUGACAUUAUAUUCCUUUAUCCCUUUAUAGUUUUUCUGUAUUUCCUAAGAGCAAAGGCAUUAUCAUACAAUCUCAGUACAAAGAUCAAAAUCAGGAAUUUUAACCAGAACCUUCUUUUAUUUAAUACACCGGCUCAUAUUUUAAGUUUUGCUAAUUGUGGCAAGAAUGCCCUUUAUAGCUAUUUCCUGGGAUCACUUGAAUUCCAUUGUCAGGACUCUUUUACUUUGCUUUAAUCCUGGCAAGGCAGUUAGCUACUCAGCCUUCCUUUGUCUUUCAUGACCUUGACAUUUUUGGAAAGUACUGGCGGGCUGUUUUGUAGAAUGUCACUAAAUUGGAUUUGUCUGAUAUUUUCUCACAAGUAGAUUCAGAAUAUGCACUUUUCAACAGGAAUUUUACUGAAAGAAGGUUAUGUCCUCAGUGCCUCACAUCAAGAAGCACAUGACAUUGGCUUGUCCCAAUAUUGGUGAUAUUAGCCUAGAUCAUUGGUUAAAGUUAUGUCUGCAGAGAUUCUCCACCAUAAGUUUGCAUUUUCUCUUUGUAACAUUAAGUAUUUUAGAGGAAUAUAUUUUGAGACUAAAUAUUCUGUUCUUCACUAGAUUCUCAUCUACUGGUUUUAGCAUUAAUUGAUGAUUCUCAUUUGGACAAAUACAUAUUAUAUACAUAACAUAUAUGUAUAUAUGUAUGUGCAUGUACAUAUAUAUAUAUAAGAGAAGGUGCAAAUGUGGCAAAAUAUAACAAAUUUUAUUAUUUGGUUGAAAGUAUGUGAGAGUUUUUUGCUAUUCUUAAAUUUUAUGUGGACAUUUGAAAUUGUAUCCAAAAAAUAAAUAAAGCUUGAAACAGUUCUUGUUAAAAUGGUUGUGAAAUGGUGAUCAGGAGACCUUAUAUAAGCUUUUUAGGGCUUGCCAUAACAAAAUACCAUAGACUGUGUGGCUUAAAUGACAUUUAUGUACUCAUGGUUCUAGAGCCUAGAAAUCCAAAAUCCAUGGGCAGAUAUGGUUUCUCCUGAGCCUUCCUCCUUGCCUUGCAAAUGGCUGAAUUCUUGCUGUGUCCCCAUGUGGUCUUUCUGAGGAAAGAAGCCUCACCCUGAUGUUUUUACCAACAGCUUCAUUCUAAUGUAAUCACUUCUUGAAAGACCUAAUUUUCAAAUAUGACCACUUCAUAGGUACUAGGGGUUGCAAUUUCAACAUAUAAAUUUUAUUGGGGGGGGGAGGGGACACAAUUCAGUUUAUAACCAUCCCUUUGGAAUGACAUUUGAGUUGAUACCUAAAUUUCAAGAGGCCAGCCAUGCUAAAACUAGUGAAAGUUUCUUCCAGGAAUAGGGAACAGCAAGUGUAAAAGCCCUGAGAUAGGAACAAGUUUGAUGGUAAUUUUCAGCCAACUAGUGAGAGUGUAAGAUGGUAAACCAGUUGGGAAAAAAAACAACAGUUUGGCAGUUUAUUACAACAUGCAAUGUAUAUUUACCCUAUAGUCCAGCAAUUCCAUGUCUUGAUAUUUACCCCAGAUAAAUGAAAACUUAACAUUCACAAAUAGAUGUGGUUAAGAAUAUUCAUAGCAGCUUUCCGCAUAAGAGCAUAAGAAUCCCAAACUGGAAGGCACUCCCCUCCCAUGUUCAUCAGUAAAUGAAUGCACAAAUUGUGGUUAUAUUCAUACAAUAAAGGAAAAAAAAGUAAUGAAACAUUGAUACUCAACAAAAAGAGCAAAAGAGUACCUAAUGGAUGAUUCUAUAUAUAAUCUUUUUUGUUUGUUUGGCACUGAGGAUUGAGCCCAGGGGUUCUUUACCACUGAGCUAUCCCCCAGCCCUUUUGGAGGGGUAGUGUGAGGGGGUGCCAGGGAUUGAAUUCAGGGGCACUCGGGCCACUGAGCCAUAUCCCCAGCCCUAUUUUGUAUUUUAUUUAGAGACAGGGUCUCUCUGAAUUGCUUAGUGCUUCGCCUUUGCUGAGGCUGGCUUUGAAGUUGUGAUCCUUCUCAACCUCUGGAGCCUGUGGCGUUACAUGCAUGUGCCACUGUGCCCAGCUCCCAGACAUUUUAUGUUUUAUUUUGAGGCAGGGUCUCUUAAACUGCUAAGGCUGUCUGCAAACUUGUGAUCCUCCUGCCUCAGCCUCCCAAAUUGCUGGGAUUACAGGUGCAUGCAACCGGCCCAGCCCUAGAAGCAAUUCUUGAAAAUGCAAAUUAAUUUAUAGUGACAGAAAGCAGUUUAGUAGAGGGGUGGGGUGGG
RNAcentral lists this long non-coding RNA (2298 nucleotides) under Marmota monax (woodchuck). The record is from RNAcentral. Lineage: Eukaryota; Metazoa; Chordata; Mammalia; Rodentia; Sciuridae.